RNAcentral lists this ribosomal RNA (274 nucleotides) under uncultured bacterium. RNAcentral describes it as "partial 16S ribosomal RNA". It matches the Rfam family "Bacterial small subunit ribosomal RNA", at positions 523 to 796 of the family's 1533-position model. The record is from RNAcentral.
AUACGGAGGGGGCUAGCGUUGUUCGGAAUCACUGGGCGUAAAGCGCGCGUAGGCGGUUUAUCAAGUUGGGCGUGAAAGCCCGGGGCUCAACCCCGGAAUAGCGCCCAAAACUGGUUGACUCGAGUCCGAGAGAGGGUGGUGGAAUUCCCAGUGUAGAGGUGAAAUUCGUAGAUAUUGGGAAGAACACCGGUGGCGAAGGCGGCCACCUGGCUCGGUACUGACGCUGAGGCACGAAAGCAUGGGGAGCGAACAGGAUUAGAAACCCCGGUAGUCC